Molecule: long non-coding RNA, 420 nt
Filed under: Parus major (Great Tit)
Lineage: Eukaryota; Metazoa; Chordata; Aves; Passeriformes; Paridae
Description: lncRNA (ENSPMJG00000007436.1)
Source: RNAcentral
CAAGUAUCAUUCUCUCCUUUGAAACACUAUACUGUUUUUUUCAGAAGGCCUGAUCCUGUAGUGGAUGGAGUCCACCGAGAAUCCUUCUAAUUUUGUGAGCUACUGGUCAGGCUAUGGUUGAAUUCAGUCUGUUUGCAGGAGCAUAGCCAGCACUCUGAGAUAUCCUGGAAGAAAGGACUGCUCUGCAGAAGCUCACUGAAAGACUUCCUGAUAGGAAAAAAUCACUGCUGGAGAGAUGGAAAGGAGCCCACACAGUGGAAGCGGACCAGCUGUGCAAGAGGACGGUCCAGGACGGCUGAAUCGGCCCCGGCUGGGCGCUCAGGAGCUCCCGUCCACCCACCCGCAGCCAUUUCCUGUUCCUUCCCAAGGCUCCUUCCCGAGGCUCCUCUCCCGGAUCCCGCCGUGAGGCGGAGCGAGCGG